UCCAGAUGUCAUCUCCAAAAAGGGUCCCCAAGUGGUGGCUCUGACAGAGAUAUGGAUUCAACCGGAAAACACGGUAACACUGACAGGACUUCCCUCUGUCUUCAACUUCUCCACACCUGCCACUCUACUUCACUACUUCAAUGCUUGCUCAGGAUCUUCCUUCCCAGAUGAUGGCUGCUGACUUCAUCAUUCUUCUUUCCUCCUUCAAUAUUGCACAGCUCCAUACUGCAGCCACUCACAAGGCCUGCAUUCGAAAGACACUCCUGUCCCUGGCUUUCAGAA
Long non-coding RNA from Polypterus senegalus (gray bichir), 282 nucleotides. RefSeq lists it as uncharacterized. The record is from RefSeq and is a predicted model, not a curated record. NCBI's taxonomy places the organism in Eukaryota, Metazoa, Chordata, Cladistia, Polypteriformes, Polypteridae. The transcript is spliced from 3 exons.